This 775-nucleotide ribosomal RNA is filed under the name uncultured Neocallimastigales. RNAcentral's name for it is "partial large subunit ribosomal RNA". It matches the Rfam family "Eukaryotic large subunit ribosomal RNA", at positions 24 to 646 of the family's 3401-position model. Lineage: Eukaryota; Fungi; Neocallimastigomycota; Neocallimastigomycetes; Neocallimastigales. The record is from RNAcentral.
UAUCUCUGUAGAGUCUGCAUAUCAAUAAGCGGAGGAAAAGAAACUAACAAGGAUUCCCUUAGUAACGGCGAGUGAAGCGGGAAGAGCUCAAAUUUGAAAUCUUCAAGGUUCUACCUUGACGAAUUGUAGUUUAUAGAAGUGUUUUCUGUUAGUGGAGUGGCAAAAGUUCUUUGGAAUAGGACAUCAUAGAGGGUGAGAAUCCCGUAUUUGGUCAUUCCUCCUAGCGUUGUGAUACACUUUCAACGAGUCGGAUUGUUUGGGAAUGCAGUCCAAAACGGGUGGUAAAUUUCAUCUAAAGCUAAAUAUUGGCGAGAGACCGAUAGCGAACAAGUACCGUGAGGGAAGGAUGAAAAGAACUUUGAAAAGAGAGUUAAACAGUACGUGAAAUUGUCAAAAGGGAAGCGUUUGACACCAGUGUUGUUUUUCCGAAAAUCAAUUACGAAUGUUUUGUUUUUGAGGAGUUAUGACUUCAUCGGCUUGCUUCCUUUCUUUACGAAACUUUCUUAAUGCACUUUUCGGUUAACAAGUCAACAUCAAUUUCUUUUGUUGUAAAAGGGUAUGAGGAAGGUGGCUUUCUUUUCGGAGAAAGUGUUUAUAGCCUUGUGCCUCUGCAAUCGGAGAGAUUGAGGUCUGCAGCGUAGAUCCUUCGGGGUUAGAUACAUUUGUGCUAAGUUAUAGCCUUUCAUAGACAACUUGUUGACUAUGAUCAGUCAUGUAGCUUACUCGCUUAUGCUAUUUUACCUACGCUUAGGAUGUUGAUGUGAUACUGCGAGCA